Molecule: transfer RNA, 72 nt
Filed under: Ictidomys tridecemlineatus (thirteen-lined ground squirrel)
Lineage: Eukaryota; Metazoa; Chordata; Mammalia; Rodentia; Sciuridae
Also listed under: 1 other name
Description: Spermophilus tridecemlineatus (thirteen-lined ground squirrel) tRNA
Rfam family: tRNA
About the family: Transfer RNA (tRNA) molecules are approximately 80 nucleotides in length. Their secondary structure includes four short double-helical elements and three loops (D, anti-codon, and T loops). Further hydrogen bonds mediate the characteristic L-shaped molecular structure. tRNAs have two regions of fundamental functional importance: the anti-codon, which is responsible for specific mRNA codon recognition, and the 3' end, to which the tRNAs corresponding amino acid is attached (by aminoacyl-tRNA synthetases). tRNAs cope with the degeneracy of the genetic code in two manners: having more than one tRNA (with a specific anti-codon) for a particular amino acid; and 'wobble' base-pairing, i.e. permitting non-standard base-pairing at the 3rd anti-codon position.
Source: Rfam by way of RNAcentral
GGGGGUGUUGCUCCGAGGCAGAGCACUUGCCUAGCAUGCAGGAAACCUUGGGCUCAAUUCCUGGUACCACCA